AUACGUAGGGAGCGAGCGUUGUCCGGAAUUACUGGGUGUAAAGGGUGCGUAGGCGGGAUGGCAAGUCAGAUGUGAAAUGCCGGGGCUCAACCCCGGAGCUGCAUUUGAAACUGUCGUUCUUGAGUGAGGUAGAGGUAAGCGGAAUUCCUAGUGUAGCGGUGAAAUGCGUAGAUAUUAGGAGGAACACCAGUGGCGAAGGCGGCUUGCUGGACGAAAACUGACGCUGAGGCGCGAAAGCGUGGGGAGCAAACAGGAUUAGAUACCCGGGUAGUCCACGCCGUAAACUAUGGAAGCUAGCCGUCAGUCAGCUUGCUGAGUGGUGGCGCAGCUAACGCAUUAAGCUUCCCGCCUGGGGAGUACGGUCGCAAGAUUAAAACUCAAAUGAAUUGGCGGGG
Molecule: ribosomal RNA, 395 nt
Filed under: uncultured bacterium
Lineage: Bacteria
Description: partial 16S ribosomal RNA
Rfam family: Bacterial small subunit ribosomal RNA
Source: RNAcentral